This is a long non-coding RNA of Panicum virgatum (switchgrass), 2771 nucleotides long. RefSeq lists it as uncharacterized. The transcript is spliced from 4 exons. The record is from RefSeq and is a predicted model, not a curated record. Lineage: Eukaryota; Viridiplantae; Streptophyta; Magnoliopsida; Poales; Poaceae.
UUCUUUCUGUGCUUCUCUUCCUCCCUCCGUUCUCUCCCUCUCACUUCCUUUCCUGCUCCUCGCGUCUCUGCCCGGUGAGCUCCUUGUGUCCCUACGACUUGCUUCCACUUCGUCGCAUGCUACUCCACGCCCUCCUGCCCGGCGAGCUCCUCCCGUCCCUACGGCUUCCCUUGCACGCACGCUGGUCCCCUUCUUCACUCCGUACAGUCUUCCAAUGUGGCUUCGGUGAUGGCCAUCCGUGCCUCCUGCUCCUUCAUGUGUUCUGCUCCUCUUCGGUUUGACGCUGCAGCCUUCUGCGGCUGAAAACUUUUUUGCUUGGGUUUUGCAGGCUGCAAUUGCUAAUUUCAAGGUCACUUCUAGGUGCAAGGUAAAGGAUCUGUUGGUUCUGUGUGCUGCUAAGUAGGAUCUGAAGUUGUCGCUGCAUCAUAUUGCAAGUGUAUGUUUGGUUCCUCUGCUUCAAAAUUUGUGUUUUUUUCCCCGUGUUUUACUUUAAUGCAUGGUAUUUGAGUAUUGACUAGAGAACUAUUGAUAGCAGGCAGCUUCUUUCAUUUUCUCAUUCUAGCUAGUUGUCCUUUCUUCCAAUACAUGUUCUAGCUAGCUGCAGGUCUGUGUGUGAAUGUGAAAUUGCAGGUAACCCACUCUGUAUGUAUGACUUAUGUUAAGAAGACCUGUUAGUUUAGAGAUUAGUUUGCUAUUUACUCUCAAGGGUUGGAGUCCUGUGUUUGAUUGAUUCUACUUCACAUAAACAUGUCACAUUAUCUUCAGUUAAUGACUUCUUUGGUACUAUGAAACAGAUAUAGCUUGCCACUGUAAAUGCUGCUUGUGCUUCAUUCUUCUAUAGCUGAUGCUGAUAUAAAUGCUCUCCUAGCUACAUACCCUUGCAUAUUUUUGCUAGCAGUUUUUGCAAUGUGCUUGUGAUGUUGUCUUCCGGAGUUGAUUCUGAAAGCUUUGAUUUUUAACAAUUAUAUUGAGAGAACAGGAUAAACUUUGAAGCUUUGGAGAAGGGUCGAUUAGUUCUCAACCUUUUCCCUGAAUUGUUUUAUUGGUUUGAAUAUCUGAAUGACUGAAUGAUAAUUUUCAUGGACUGAACCACUCUCCAGAACUUAGAAUCAUGAUAUGCACCAUUAUAACUUAAUGGCUGAUAAUUGCAUGCAGAAUUAUUUAUACUAGAAAUCUAGGUUAAUGUGGCUGGCACCAUCUGUAUUUUGGAUCCUUAACCAGUGACACAAUAACCUGUUAAAUAUAUUUAAUUCUUUAAAUUGUUCAUAUACUGUCAAUUUUCUAACGAAAUUUAUUUUCAAUGCAGCCUGGUCACUUUCAGGGCAAUUCUUAUGACAUAGUAUUUGCUUUCCAGGUAUAUUUACUACCUUUUACCUAUUUAGCGACUUAAAUUCUUAUAUAUAUGUACUUAAUCUACCUUUUAAUUUAAUUUUUAUGCAUUGCUACGGACAAUAUGUCAGUGGAUCAAUCAGUGAUGAGCAAAGAAAGAACGUGCUCCGCAAUUCAUUUCCAGGUGCAGGUGCAGGUGCAUGUGGUAUGUACACAGCUAACAUGAUUUCAUCGGUUAUCAAGGCCAUUGGCAUGAGCCUUCCAUACAGCUGCAAUUAAUGUCUUAAUCUUUAACCUGUUUGUUGUGAAGCAAUGAAAAAUAUUUUAUUACAUUAGUCUGCGUCAUUUACAUAGAUUAACUAUUCUUAAUCAAUAUUUCUUUGUGCUUUAUGUACCAAAGUUCUUCAACUCCUGCUGGAGACCCACUAAAACUUGAGGAAUGCCGCCUUUCUGGGAAGUAUCUUUUAGAAUUGCUAAAGAUAGACUUCAAGCCUACGGACAUUAUCACCAAUAAGUCAUUGCGGAAUGCAAUGGUUAUUGUCAUGGCUCCUGGUGGGUCAACUAAUGAGUUGGUUGUUGCCUAAUUGUAUCACAUCUACUUAUUUUAUGAGUACACCAAAGCUUAUUUGUUACUCAUUAUGAUCUUAAAAUUACAUUUCAAUGUUUAGAUGCAUUUAUGCAAAUGAAAAAGACUGAUUAACUUGCCAUUGAUGCUGUAAGGGAAAAAAUAAUUUGAUUCCAGCUACAACAUCUCCAUCAUGGUAAGGUCAUUUUGCUCCUUGCGUUCCCUUAACUAUGUUACACACUAGAGUAUUAUAUGUUCCUGAUAGUUUUUUUAUUUUAGGAAAUUUCUAUAUAGCUCAUCCUGCUGUGUGUCAAUUCAUUUAUCUUAUCUUCUAAUCUGAACAUACAAUGUCUAGGAUUAGUUUUACUCAAAUUUAAGCAAUACUUAUACUGAGGAGUUAUAUUAUUGUCUAAUUAAAUACUUAAAAGUUCUUAAAAAAAGUCCUAUCCUAUAGUAAUAAUGUAGAACAAGAAUGAACUUUUUUUUUGGCGAUCAAGAACAAGAGUGAACUUAAUGCCAAUCAAAAAAGCAUCUCAAUGUUGGUUCAGGUUAUAAAUCUAUAUAAACAUUCUCUCUUCAGCGAUUGUAGUAUCCUAUAAAUAAAUAUUAUAAUGUCGUGUGAAGUUGCAAGCUUUGGUUGAUUUAAUAGGUUAAUUAUUUUUUUGGCGCAGAAAACAGAACCGGAGGACUACUUCCCGUGCGAACAAGCAAACUCCAUACUUAAUCUUGCCUCUUUUUUUUUGGAAUUAGCGUCAUAUACCUCUAUGUAUCCAUCUUCCAAUAAGAAAAGGAAACUUUAUGCUCCGUACUUUAACAGUACAAUUACUUCGCUAUUGGGAUAAAUUUUAUUUCGCUAGCGCUGGGCGCGCGCAAAGUA